UACGUAGGUGGCAAGCGUUGUCCGGAUUUAUUGGGUUUAAAGGGUGCGUAGGCGGCCCUGUAAGUCAGUGCUGAAAUACCCCGGCUUAACCGGGGGGGUGGCAUUGAUACUGCGGGGCUUGAGUACAGAUGAAGUAGGCGGAAUUGACGGUGUAGCGGUGUAAUGCAUAGAUAUCGUCAAGAACACCGAUAGCGUAGGCAGCUUACUAAGUUGUAACUGACGCUGAGGCACGAAAGUGUGGGGAUCAAACAGG
Molecule: ribosomal RNA, 253 nt
Filed under: uncultured bacterium
Lineage: Bacteria
Description: partial 16S ribosomal RNA
Rfam family: Bacterial small subunit ribosomal RNA
Source: RNAcentral